Non-coding RNA from Parelaphostrongylus tenuis, 74 nucleotides. The record is from the annotation of a GenBank genome assembly. Lineage: Eukaryota; Metazoa; Nematoda; Chromadorea; Rhabditida; Metastrongylidae.
ACCUCGGCAGUGUAGUGGUAGUAGCACGAGUCUCCGGUAUGGAUGAAACGUGGGUUCGACUCCCGCCUGAGGUC